UUCAUGACAACAGAAGCCACAGAUAUCCUCCUCAUCAAAAACAUGACUUUGAUCUCCGUCCUCAUCUGGACUCUCCUCUGCUGCUGCUUCACAGAGUCCAGAGGCCAGAUCACAGUGACUCAGCCUGCAGCAGUGAGAUCUGAUCUGAAAGGAUCUGCAACCAUCAACUGUAAGACCAGUCAGGAUGUUUAUUAUGGUUGGGGCUACGACGCUUUAGCCUGGUACCAACAGAGAGAUGGAGAAACUCCUAAACUUCUCAUUUACGCUGCUAACCGUCUAGUAUCAGGGAUUCCAGAUCGUUUUUCAGGCAGUGGAUCAAACUCUGACUUCACUCUGACCAUCAGUGGAGUUCACGCUGAAGAUGCAGCAGUUUAUUACUGUCAGAGUCGUCAUGAUAUCAACAGUCAGCUUGUAUUCACACAGUGA
Non-coding RNA from Scomber japonicus (chub mackerel), 426 nucleotides. The record is from the annotation of a RefSeq genome assembly. NCBI's taxonomy places the organism in Eukaryota, Metazoa, Chordata, Actinopteri, Scombriformes, Scombridae.